CCCCGGGCUCAACCUGGGAACUGCGUUNUGAACUGGGUAGCUAGAGUAUGUCAGAGGGGGGUAGAAUUCCACGUGUAGCAGUGAAAUGCGUAGAGAUGUGGAGGAAUACCGAUGGCGAAGGCAGCCCCCUGGGAUAAUACUGACGUUCAUGCUNGAAAGCGUGGGUAGCAAACAGGAUUAGAUACCCUGGUAGUCCACGCCCUAAACGAUGUCGAUUAGCUGUUGGGCAGCUUGACUGCUUGGUAGCGUAGCUAACGCGUGAAAUCGACCGCCUGGGGAGUACGGUCGCAAGAUUAAAACUCAAAGGAAUUGACGGGGACCCGCACAAGCGGUGGAUGAUGUGGAUUAAUUCGAUGCAACGCGAAGAACCUUACCUGGUCUUGACAUGUACGGAACCUUCCAGAGACGGAAGGGUGCCUUCGGGAGCCGUAACACAGGUGCUGCAUGGCUGUCGUCAGCUCGUGUCGUGAGAUGUUGGGUUAAGUCCCGCAACGAGCGCAACCCUUGUCAUUAGUUGCCAUCAUUCAGUUGGGCACUCUAAUGAGACUGCCGGUGACAAACCGGAGGAAGGUGGGGAUGACGUCAAGUCCUCAUGGCCCUUAUGACCAGGGCUUCGCACGUCAUACAAUGGUCGGUACAAAGGGUAGCCAAGCCGCGAGGCGGAGCCAAUCUCAUAGAACCGAUCGUAGUCCGGAUUGCACUCUGCAACUCGAGUGCAUGAAGUCGGAAUCGCUAGUAAUCGCAGGUCAGCAUACUGCGGUGAAUACGUUCCCGGGUCUUGUACACACCGCCCGUCACACCAUGGGAGUGGGGGAUACCAGAAGUAGGUAGGGUAACCGCAAGG
This 844-nucleotide ribosomal RNA is filed under the name uncultured bacterium. RNAcentral describes it as "bacterial SSU rRNA". It matches the Rfam family "Bacterial small subunit ribosomal RNA", at positions 601 to 1446 of the family's 1533-position model. The record is from RNAcentral.